UGGCAAACCUGUAGCAACAAUAUGUAUUGCCACUAGUGGCAAACAGUUGGUUUACCAGAAGUUGUUUCUGAUUAAUACAUGAGUUCCAAGACCAGUAACCGUUGAUGACCAGUCAGGGGGAGAAGAAAAAUCUAUUGGAAAUGGAAACCACGGGAUCUAGGCUACCUACGAAGGUUGUCUGGCGGUGACUAUGGAUACCCUUCCGCUACCCGUGGUGUUGGAAGAGGCUGCAUUGGGAAGAGAAGUUUGUGGUGCACUCACUCAUAACUUUUUUUUUGUGAUAAAUGAGUGUAUGGUCUUAAAGCUUGUUAAGAAGCAAUCACUUACCAGGCAAAAAGACAGAUUGAGGCCUUCAAUCAAACUGAGGACAGAGAAAUGUGCAUGCUCCAGUGCAUGCAUUCAACAAGCUUUGGAUGAAGAACUUCUACAGGGCUGCCAUCUCCAAAGUUCACUCAAUACGGCAAUAGUUCUGAAUUGGGUUUGAUUUUUGAAUUUUGUUGUUUUAAUCAUUUCAUGUUGUUCAUUCUCUUUUAAACUUCCAUUGGUUUAAAGCUCAUUGCUCAGUUAUCAUUUGGCUCAUGUAAAUUCUGAAGUUGCCCAUUUAAACAUCCUAAGGUUAACGUCCCCAUAGUGUUCACAUUUUUCUCAUGUAAAUGUUGUAGCUACAUAAAAAGAUAAAACAAACAA
Molecule: long non-coding RNA, 687 nt
Organism: Coregonus clupeaformis (lake whitefish)
Lineage: Eukaryota; Metazoa; Chordata; Actinopteri; Salmoniformes; Salmonidae
Exons: 4
Source: RefSeq, a predicted model, not a curated record